This 303-nucleotide unclassified non-coding RNA is filed under the name Zea mays. Its description in RNAcentral is "misc RNA Zm00001eb178720". Lineage: Eukaryota; Viridiplantae; Streptophyta; Magnoliopsida; Poales; Poaceae. The record is from RNAcentral.
UUGGAGCCAAGGCUCCAAGGGUCUGGAACAAAUCGCGUGAGCCCAAGGAGCGGCGGCGGCGGCGGUGCAAGAAGACGAGCCAUCCUCCCCGCCCUCCGGGGACCUCUACCUCUUCGCGAGCUUCUCUUUGCAAGAGUAGGCGAGGACGAGCCUCCCCCAUCCUGGGUGUUGGUGCCUGACUCAUUUUAUCAAGAUAUGAUGUUCACAAGAGGUUCUCCCAAAAUUUUGAUGUUAUCUAAAGCUGCUCAAAAGAAGGUUUCUCCUAAAGAUUCUACAUCAAAGAAGUGUGGAGGUGGUGUUUAG